This 863-nucleotide ribosomal RNA is filed under the name uncultured Chloroflexota bacterium. RNAcentral's name for it is "bacterial SSU rRNA". It matches the Rfam family "Bacterial small subunit ribosomal RNA", at positions 40 to 916 of the family's 1533-position model. Lineage: Bacteria; Bacillati; Chloroflexota. The record is from RNAcentral.
CGUGCCCGCCUCUAUAAUGCAGUCGAACGGAGACAUUAUAGCAAUAUGAUGUCUUAGUGGCGAACGGGUGAGUAACGCGUUGGUGACCUGCCCCGAAGUGAGGGAUAACAGUUCGAAAGGACUGCUAAUACCCCAUGUGGUCAUGAGAGUUAGAGGUCUCAUGUCUAAAGGAGUAAUCCGCUUUGGGAGGGGCCUGCGUCCCAUCAGCUAGUUGGUAGGGUAAUGGCCUACCAAGGCUUCGACGGGUAGGGGACCUGAGAGGGUGAUCCCCCACACUGGCACUGAAACACGGGCCAGACACCUACGGGUGGCAGCAGUAGGGAAUAUUGCACAAUGGGCGAAAGCCUGAUGCAGCAACGCCGCGUGCGCGAUGAAGGCCUUCGGGUCGUAAAGCGCUUUUCGGGGAGAUGAGGAAGGACAGUAUCCCCGGAAUAAGGCUCGGCUAACUACGUGCCAGCAGCCGCGGUAAAACGUAGGAGCCUAGCGUUAUCCGAAUUUACUGGGCGUAAAGCGCGUGCAGGCGGUUCGGUAAGUUGGAUGUGAAAUCUCCUGGCUCAACUGGGAGAGGUCGUUCAAUACUGUCGGACUCGAGGAUGGUAGAGGGAGGUGGAAUUCCCGGUGUAGUGGUGAAAUGCGUAGAUAUCGGGAGGAAUACCAGUGGCGAAGGCGGCCUCCUGGCCCAUUCCUGACGCUCAGACGCGAAAGCUAGGGGAGCGAACGGGAUUAGAAACCCCGGUAGUCCUAGCCGUAAACGAUGUGGACUUGGCGUUGGUGGGGUAAAAUCCAUCAGUGCCGGAGCUAACGCGGUAAGUCCACCGCCUGGGGACUACUGCCGCAACGUUAAAACUCAAAGGAAUUGACGG